Molecule: ribosomal RNA, 449 nt
Filed under: uncultured bacterium
Lineage: Bacteria
Description: partial 16S ribosomal RNA
Rfam family: Bacterial small subunit ribosomal RNA
Source: RNAcentral
AGCGAACGCUGGCGGCAGGCCUAACACAUGCAAGUCGAACGAAGCCUUCGGGCUUAGUGGCGGACGGGUGAGUAACACGUGGGAACGUACCUUUUGGUUCGGAACAACUCAGGGAAACUUGAGCUAAUACCGGAUGAGCCCUUAGGGGGAAAGAUUUAUCGCCGAAAGAGCGGCCCGCGUUAGAUUAGCUAGUUGGUGAGGUAAAGGCUCACCAAGGCUACGAUCUAUAGCUGGUCUGAGAGGAUGAUCAGCCACACUGGGACUGAGACACGGCCCAGACUCCUACGGGAGGCAGCAGUGGGGAAUCUUGCGCAAUGGGCGAAAGCCUGACGCAGCCAUGCUGCGUGAAUGAUGAAGGUCUUAGGAUUGUAAAAUUCUUUUACCAGGGACGAUAAUGACGGUACCUGGAGAAAAAGCCCCGGCUAACUUCGUGCCAGCCGCCGCCGUAA